RNAcentral lists this ribosomal RNA (492 nucleotides) under uncultured bacterium. Its description in RNAcentral is "partial 16S ribosomal RNA". It matches the Rfam family "Bacterial small subunit ribosomal RNA", at positions 29 to 507 of the family's 1533-position model. The record is from RNAcentral.
AGUGAACGCUGGCGGUAGGCCUAACACAUGCAAGUCGAACGGCAGCACAGUAAGAGCCUGCUCUUACGGGUGGCGAGUGGCGGACGGGUGAGGAAUACAUCGGAAUCUACUUUUUCGAGGGGGAUAACGUAGGGAAACUUACGCUAAUACCGCAUACGACCUACGGGUGAAAGCAGGGGAUCUUCGGACCUUGCGCGAUUGAAUGAGCCGAUGUCGGAUUAGCUAGUUGGCGGGGUAAAGGCCCACCAAGGCGACGAUCCGUAGCUGGUCUGAGAGGAUGAUCAGCCACACUGGAACUGAGACACGGUCCAGACUCCUACGGGAGGCAGCAGUGGGGAAUAUUGGACAAUGGGCGCAAGCCUGAUCCAGCCAUACCGCGUGGGUGAAGAAGGCCUUCGGGUUGUAAAGCCCUUUUGUUGGGAAAGAAAAGCAGCAGGUUAAUACCCCGCUGUUCUGACGGUACCCAAAGAAUAAGCACCGGCUAACUUCGUG